AACCAGCACCUCAAGUGGUCAGGAUGAUUAUUGGGCCUAAAGCAUCCGUAGCCUGUUCUGUAAGUUUUCGGUUAAAUCUAUGCGCUCAACGUAUAGGCUGCCGAAAAUACUGCAGAACUAGGGAGUGGGAGAGGUAGACGGUACUCGGUAGGAAGGGGUAAAAUCCUUUGAUCUAUUGAUGACCACCUGUGGCGAAGGCGGUCUACCAGAACACGUUCGACGGUGAGGGAUGAAAGCUGGGGGAGCAAACAGG
RNAcentral lists this ribosomal RNA (253 nucleotides) under uncultured archaeon. RNAcentral's name for it is "partial 16S ribosomal RNA". It matches the Rfam family "Archaeal small subunit ribosomal RNA", at positions 474 to 727 of the family's 1478-position model. The record is from RNAcentral.